This 253-nucleotide ribosomal RNA is filed under the name uncultured bacterium. RNAcentral's name for it is "partial 16S ribosomal RNA". It matches the Rfam family "Bacterial small subunit ribosomal RNA", at positions 524 to 776 of the family's 1533-position model. The record is from RNAcentral.
UACGUAGGGUGCGAGCGUUGCCCGGACUUAUUGGGUCGUAAAGGGCGCGCAGGCGCUACGCACGUCCGUUGUGAAAUCGCUCGGCUCAACUGGGCGGGGUCAGCGGAUACGGCGUAGCUGGAGCAAGCUAGGGGGCAAUGGAAUUCCCGGUGUAGUGGUGGAAUGCGUAGAUAUCGGGAGGAACACCAGUGGCGAAGGCGGUUGCCUGGAGCUUUGCUGACGCUGAGGCGCGAAAGCGUGGGGAGCGAUCCGG